This 925-nucleotide ribosomal RNA is filed under the name Mermithidae sp. 170430hunME1b. Its description in RNAcentral is "SSU rRNA". It matches the Rfam family "Eukaryotic small subunit ribosomal RNA", at positions 72 to 993 of the family's 1831-position model. The record is from RNAcentral. Lineage: Eukaryota; Metazoa; Nematoda; Enoplea; Mermithida; Mermithidae.
CCUUAAAUGGUAAAGCCGCGAAUGGCUCGGUAUAACAGCUACGGUUUAUUAGAUUUUAGUUAUCUACUUGGAUAACUGUGGUAAUUCUAGAGCUAAUACAUGCACGAAAGCUCGGACCUUACGGAAAGAGCGCAUUUAUUAGAUUGAAAACCAAUCGGGCCCUCGUGGCUCGUCAAAUUGGUGACUCUGAAUAACUAAGUUGAUCGCACAGUCAUAGUACUGGCGACGUAUCUUUCAAAUAUCUGCCUUAUCAACUUUCGAUGGUAGGUUAUACGCCUACCAUGGUUAUAACGGGUAACGGAGAAUAAGGGUUCGACUCCGGAGAGGGAGCCUGAGAAAUGGCUACCACAUCCAAGGAAGGCAGCAGGCGCGCAAAUUACCCAAUCCCAGUACGGGGAGGUAGUGACGAAAAAUAACGAGAUAGUCCACUAUGUGGCCUGUCAUCGGAAUGGGUACAAUUUAAAUCUUUUAACGAGGAUCUAUUAGAGGGCAAGUCUGGUGCCAGCAGCCGCGGUAAUUCCAGCUCUAAUAGCGUAUAUUAAAGUUGUUGUGGUUAAAACGCCCGUAGUUGAUUUUUCGACUUUGGAGCGCGGUAUCUCGAAAGAGUUUCAACUGCGUCUGCCGAGUCUUCUCUUCUUGUUUUCUAUGGAUGCUCUUCACUGAGUGUCCUUAGUGACUUGAACGUUUACUUUGAAAAAAUUAGAGUGCUUAAAGCAAGCUUCAUCGCUUGAAUAAAGUGCAUGGGAUAAUGGAAUAGGACUUUAGUCUUAUUUUGUUGGUUUUAGAGAUUAAAGUAAUGAUUAAGAGGAAUAGACGGGGGCAUUUGUAUUGUUGCGUUAGAGGUGAAAUUCUUGGAUCGCAGCAAGACAAACAACUGCGAAAGCAUUUGCCAAGAAUGUUUUCAUUAAUCAAGGACGAAAGUUAG